RNAcentral lists this transfer RNA (72 nucleotides) under Entomophthora muscae. Its description in RNAcentral is "tRNA-Thr". It matches the Rfam family "tRNA". Rfam says of the family: Transfer RNA (tRNA) molecules are approximately 80 nucleotides in length. Their secondary structure includes four short double-helical elements and three loops (D, anti-codon, and T loops). Further hydrogen bonds mediate the characteristic L-shaped molecular structure. tRNAs have two regions of fundamental functional importance: the anti-codon, which is responsible for specific mRNA codon recognition, and the 3' end, to which the tRNAs corresponding amino acid is attached (by aminoacyl-tRNA synthetases). tRNAs cope with the degeneracy of the genetic code in two manners: having more than one tRNA (with a specific anti-codon) for a particular amino acid; and 'wobble' base-pairing, i.e. permitting non-standard base-pairing at the 3rd anti-codon position. Lineage: Eukaryota; Fungi; Entomophthoromycota; Entomophthoromycetes; Entomophthorales; Entomophthoraceae. The record is from RNAcentral.
GCCUCUUUAGCUCAGGGGCAGAGCGUUCCCCUAGUAAGGGAAAGGUCAGUGGUUCAAAUCCGCUAAGAGGCA